GAAACCCCUCGCGAGACUCGAACUCGCAAUCUUCUGAUUAGAAGUCAGACGCGUUAACCAUUACGCCAGAGGGGCC
This 76-nucleotide transfer RNA is filed under the name Fusarium acuminatum CS5907. Lineage: Eukaryota; Fungi; Ascomycota; Sordariomycetes; Hypocreales; Nectriaceae. The record is from RNAcentral.